Zonotrichia albicollis (white-throated sparrow) is the source of this 1387-nucleotide long non-coding RNA. Lineage: Eukaryota; Metazoa; Chordata; Aves; Passeriformes; Passerellidae. The record is from Ensembl.
CUUACACCCCUCUACCCCGGAUAACAGCUAAUCCCCUCUGCUCCCGGCAGUGCUGGGCCGCUGGGCUGAGAGGCCCGGCCCGCUGCUGGCGAGGGCAGGGAGGGGAAGGGGAGACAAGGAGGGGGGAUUACCUGAGCAAAUCGGCGUCUGAAUCCAACGAGAAUCCGAGAGAGGGGGAGAGAAAUCCGCCCCCCUCCCUCCUCAGAGGAGCCGCCGCCGCCGCUGGGCCGCCGCCGCCGCCGCGGAGCAGGAGGAGGAGGGGAGAUAAUAUAACAACAAUAAUCCGGGCCGGGAGGGGGGCUGGCUCCUCUUCCGUCUCCUCCUCAGUGCAGCGAACAUGUAGAGCCGGGGGGUGUGCGGCCGAGGCAAAUCCCUUCCCCCCGAGCCUGCUUCACAACAUCAACACGGGUCGGGCCGCGCCGCGCCGAACCGGUUCCGAGCCGCGCUCCGAGCCGGGGAGAGCGGAGGGUGGCCCAGGGGCAGCGCUGCCAAGGGGCCGCCGCCGCCGCCGCUCCCUCCGAGAGUGCGAGCGCAGGAGGGCGGGGAGGGGCGGCCUGGGCACGGUGAGUCGGUACCGAGCGGGGGGGCAGAGGGAGAGAAGGGCGAGGAGGAGGAGGAGGAGGGGGAAGGAUCCUGUGUGUGUCUCUCUCGCUCCCUCUCAGAACAAAAUGCCGACCGGAAGUGCAGCGGCAGGAAUGACUCCCUCCACCGGCGCCAAACACCAGCAACCUCCCCCUUCCCUCCGCUGCCUCCUCCUCGCCCGAACGCUCCCUCGCUCCACCAGCGCCGCUUCCGCCGCUGCAGCUGGAGGGGCUCCCUUGCCUCGCCUCUCCCAGCAGAGCCUCCCCUGCGUAGCUCCUCUCCCUGCUGCACGACCUUCUCUUUUUUCCCCCUUUUUAAAAAUUUUCUCCCUCUUCCCGGCCUUUUGGUGCGCGGAACGAGACCGAAGUUUAUGCUUAAGCCUCCGCUGAGGAUUUGCGAAGAAGGGAUUCUCUUGGAAAAAAAUACACGUUUUGGUGUUUAUUUUUCUGUCCUGCCUAAGCAUGGUGGAGGAGGACUGCAAAAGGCUGCCUCGCAGGAGGCAGACCUGGAAAGGGCUCUUAAACUGAACCCUCAGAGGCGGCAGCCCCUGGAGGUGGGACACUCGCUGGAGUUACUGUCGCCGCUCAUGCCCUUUCUAUGUGGAUGUGAGAGGCCGCGCCGCAGGAACCGAAACACCCGCUGCUCAAAGCAUUGCCGGGGCGAGGGAUUUCCAGAGAUGGACAUACGAAAAGGGAGUGGCUUUCAAAAACGGGCUUUUUGGACGAGCACCGGGGAAAAUGCUGAUGUUCAGGUGAAAUGUCCUUCGCUGGAGGCUGAGGCUCCACCGCCACUAUAUUUACUGUAA